Molecule: ribosomal RNA, 487 nt
Filed under: uncultured bacterium
Lineage: Bacteria
Description: bacterial SSU rRNA
Rfam family: Bacterial small subunit ribosomal RNA
Source: RNAcentral
GAUGAACGCUAGCGGCAGGCUUAACACAUGCAAGUCGAGGGGUAAGGUAGCAAUAUCUGAGACCGGCGCACGGGUGCGUAACGCGUAUGCAACCUACCUUUUACAGGGGAAUAGCCCAGAGAAAUUUGGAUUAAUGCCCCCUGGUAUAAUUGAAUCGCAUGGUUUAAUUAUUAAAGUUCCAACGGUAAAAGAUGGGCAUGCGUCCUAUUAGCUAGAUGGUAAGGUAACGGCUUACCAUGGCUACGAUAGGUAGGGGUCCUGAGAGGGAGAUCCCCCACACUGGUACUGAGACACGGACCAGACUCCUACGGGAGGCAGCAGGGAGGAAUAUUGGACAAUGGGCGCAAGCCUGAUCCAGCCAUGCCGCGUGCAGGAAGACGCAUCUAUGGUGUGUAAACUGCUUUUGUACAGGAAGAAACAUCCCGACGUGUCGGGACUGGACGGUACUGUAAGAAUAAGGAUCGGCUAACUCCGUGCCAGCAGCCGC